This 253-nucleotide ribosomal RNA is filed under the name uncultured bacterium. RNAcentral's name for it is "partial 16S ribosomal RNA". It matches the Rfam family "Bacterial small subunit ribosomal RNA", at positions 524 to 776 of the family's 1533-position model. The record is from RNAcentral.
UACAGAGGAGCCAAGCGUUGUCCGGAUUGACUGGGCGUAAAGCGCACGCAGGCGGACGCGCGCGUGGGGUGUGAAAUCUGGCCGCUUAACGGCCAGGCGCCAUCCCAUACGGCGUGUCUGGAGUGAUGCAGAGGUCGAUGGAAUUGCCGGUGUAGUGGUGAAAUGCGUAGAGAUCCGGCGGAACACCGGUGGUGAAGGCGGCUUCCUUGGCCGAACCCGACGCUGAGGCGCGAGAGCGCGGGGAGCGAACCGG